GAUGAACGCUGGCGGCGUGCUUAACACAUGCAAGUCGAACGGGAAACCUUUUAUUGAAGCUUCGGCAGAUUUAGCUGGUUUCUAGUGGCGGACGGGUGAGUAACGCGUGGGUAACCUGCCCUAUACAGGGGGAUAACAACCAGAAAUGGUUGCUAAUACCGCAUAAGCGCACAGGGCCGCAUGGUCCGGUGUGAAAAACUCCGGUGGUAUAGGAUGGACCCGCGUUGGAUUAGCCAGUUGGCAGGGUAACGGCCUACCAAAGCGACGAUCCAUAGCCGGCCUGAGAGGGUGAACGGCCACAUUGGGACUGAGACACGGCCCAGACUCCUACGGGAGGCAGCGGUGGGGAAUAUUGCACAAUGGGGGAAACCCUGAUGCAGCGACGCCGCGUGAAGGAAGAAGUAUCUCGGUAUGUAAACUUCUAUCAGCAGGGAAGAUAGUGACGGUACCUGACUAAGAAGCCCCGGCUAACUACGUG
Molecule: ribosomal RNA, 478 nt
Filed under: uncultured bacterium
Lineage: Bacteria
Description: partial 16S ribosomal RNA
Rfam family: Bacterial small subunit ribosomal RNA
Source: RNAcentral